RNAcentral lists this ribosomal RNA (501 nucleotides) under uncultured cyanobacterium. RNAcentral describes it as "bacterial SSU rRNA". It matches the Rfam family "Bacterial small subunit ribosomal RNA", at positions 976 to 1477 of the family's 1533-position model. The record is from RNAcentral. Lineage: Bacteria; Bacillati; Cyanobacteriota.
AGGGCUUGACAUGUCCGGAACCUUGCCGAGAGGUGAGGGUGCCUUCGGGAGCCGGAACACAGUUGGUGCAUGGCUGUCGUCAGCUCGUGUCGUGAGAUGUUGGGUUAAGUCCCGCAACGAGCGCAACCCACGUUCUUUAGUUGCCAGCAUUGANUUGGGCACUCUAGGGAGACUGCCGGUGACAAACCGGAGGAAGGUGUGGAUGACGUCAAGUCAGCUUGCCCCUUACGUCCUGGGCUACACACGUACUACAAUGCUGUGGACAAAGGGCAGCCAGCCAGCGAUGGUGAGCUAAUCCCAGAAACCACGGCUCAGUUCAGAUUGCAGGCUGCAACUCGCCUGCAUGAAGGAGGAAUCGCUAGUAAUCGCAGGUCAGCAUACUGCGGUGAAUACGUUCCCGGGCCUUGUACACACCGCCCGUCACACCAUGGGACUUGCUUCUGCCCGAAGUCGUUACUCCAACCUUAGGGAGGGGGACCACGAAGGCAGGGCUGAUGACUG